GACGAACGCUGGCGGCGUGCUUAACACAUGCAAGUCGAACGGAAAGGCCCUGCUUUUGUGGGGUGCUCGAGUGGCGAACGGGUGAGUAACACGUGAGUAACCUGCCCUUGACUUUGGGAUAACUUCAGGAAACUGGGGCUAAUACCGGAUAGGAGCUCCUGCUGCAUGGUGGGGGUUGGAAAGUUUCGGCGGUUGGGGAUGGACUCGCGGCUUAUCAGCUUGUUGGUGGGGUAGUGGCUUACCAAGGCUUUGACGGGUAGCCGGCCUGAGAGGGUGACCGGCCACAUUGGGACUGAGAUACGGCCCAGACUCCUACGGGAGGCAGCUGUGGGGAAUAUUGCACAAUGGGCGGAAGCCUGAUGCAGCAACGCCGCGUGCGGGAUGACGGCCGUCGGGUUGUAAACCGCUUUCGCCUGUGACGAAGCGUGAGUGACGGUAAUGGGUAAAGAAGCACCGGCUAACUACGUG
This 468-nucleotide ribosomal RNA is filed under the name uncultured bacterium. RNAcentral describes it as "partial 16S ribosomal RNA". It matches the Rfam family "Bacterial small subunit ribosomal RNA", at positions 28 to 507 of the family's 1533-position model. The record is from RNAcentral.